GUAAACGAUGAAUACUAAGUGUUGGGGAAACUCAGUGCUGCAGUUAACGCAAUAAGUAUUCCGCCUGGGGAGUAUGCACGCAAGUGUGAAACUCAAAGGAAUUGACGGGGGCCCGCACAAGCGGUGGAUUAUGUGGUUUAAUUCGAUGCAACGCGAAGAACCUUACCAGGUCUUGACAUCCUGACAAAGGCCUCAGAGAUGAGGAGAUAGAUAUGUCAGAGACAGGUGGUGCAUGGUUGUCGUCAGCUCGUGUCGUGAGAUGUUGGGUUAAGUCCCGCAACGAGCGCAACCCUUGUCUUUAGUUACCAUCAUUAAGUUGGGGACUCUAGAGAGACUGCCGGUGACAAACCGGAGGAAGGUGGGGAUGACGUCAAAUCAUCAUGCCCCUUAUGACCUGGGCUACACACGUAAUACAAUGGCGUAUACAGAGGGAAGCGAAGUAGUGAUAUGGAGCGAAACUCACAAAGUACGUCUCAGUUCGGAU
Molecule: ribosomal RNA, 484 nt
Filed under: uncultured bacterium
Lineage: Bacteria
Description: bacterial SSU rRNA
Rfam family: Bacterial small subunit ribosomal RNA
Source: RNAcentral